GGAAACGAUCCAAAAACAGAGUGAUGAAAUGGAUUUGGAGGAAAGAAGAAAGGAAGAUAGAGGGUGGGGGAGAGAAAGAUUUUUUUUUUAAUUUUUUAAUUAAUAAUUUGGGGUUAGUCUAGGUCGCGAAGUGGAUGGAAUAAGACGGAAAACGCUGACUGUAAGUUGGAAAAUUUUCGACCUUAGGACAAUUAAAAAAACGUUAAACUUAAAGAACUAUUAAAAUCGAUAGCCAGUUUAAAUAACACAACAAUAUGAUUUACUACCUUUUCUGCUUUCUCUCAAAUUU
This 289-nucleotide long non-coding RNA is filed under the name Linum usitatissimum (flax). Its description in RNAcentral is "long non-coding RNA (LUSI_LNC003757)". Lineage: Eukaryota; Viridiplantae; Streptophyta; Magnoliopsida; Malpighiales; Linaceae. The record is from RNAcentral.